UCUUGUUCUAAGCUUUAACGCCAGAAGAUGAACCCGCGUAGGAUUAGCUAGUUGGUGUGGUAAAGGCGCACCAAGGCGACGAUUCUUAGCUGGUCUGAGAGGAUGAUCAACCCCACUGGGACUGACACACGGCCCACACUCCUACGGGAGGCAGCAGUGGGGAAUAUUGGACAAUGGGCGAAAGCCUGAUCCAGCAAUGCCGCGUGAGUGAUGAAGGCCUUAGGGUUGUAAAGCUCUUUUACCCGGGAUGAUAAUGACAGUACCGGGAGAAUAAGCUCCGGCUAACUCCGUGCCAGCAGCCGCGGUAAUACGGAGGGAGCUAGCGUUAUUCGGAAUUACUGGGCGUAAAGCGCACGUAGGCGGCUUUGUAAGUUAGAGGUGAAAGCCUGGAGCUCAACUCCAGAAUUGCCUUUAAGACUGCAUCGCUUGAAUCCAGGAGAGGUGAGUGGAAUUUCGAGUGUAGAGGUGAAAUUCGUAGAUAUUCGGAAGAACACCAGUGGCGAAAGCGGCUCACUGGACUGGUAUUGACGCUGAGGUGCGAAAGCGUGGGGAGCACACAGGAUUAGAUACCCUGGUAGUCCACGCCGUAAACGAUGAUAACUAUCUGUCGGGGCUCUUAGAGCUUCGGUGGCGCAGCUAACGCAUUAAGUUAUCCGCCUGGGGAGUACGGCCGCAAGGUUAAAACUCAAAUGAAUUGACGGGGGCCUGCACAAUCGGUGGAGCAUGUGGUUUAUUUCAAAGCAACGCGCAUAACCUUACCAGCGUUUGACAUGUCCGGACGAUUUCGGGAGACCGAUCUCUUCCCUUCGGGGACUGGAACACAGGUGCUGCAUGGCUGUCGUCAGCUCGUGUCGUGAGAUGUUGGGUUAAGUCCCGCAACGAGCGCAACCCUCGUCCUUAGUUGCCAUCAUUUAGUUGGGCACUCUAAGGAAACCGCCGGUGAUAAGCCGGAGGAAGGUGGGGAUGACGUCAAGUCCUCAUGGCCCUUACGCGCUGGGCUACACACGUGCUACAAUGGCGGUGACAGUGGGCAGCAAUCUCGCAAGGGUGAGCUAAUCUCCAAAAGCCGUCUCAGUUCGG
This 1080-nucleotide ribosomal RNA is filed under the name Sphingomonas sp. RNAcentral's name for it is "bacterial SSU rRNA". It matches the Rfam family "Bacterial small subunit ribosomal RNA", at positions 195 to 1296 of the family's 1533-position model. Lineage: Bacteria; Pseudomonadati; Pseudomonadota; Alphaproteobacteria; Sphingomonadales; Sphingomonadaceae. The record is from RNAcentral.